CACUAGGUGGCUGACAUAAGUAUAUAUUUUUUAAAUAUAAGUAAGAUUUUUUUUAUCCUUAGUGA
Molecule: transfer RNA, 65 nt
Filed under: Arisubathynella cheongmiensis
Lineage: Eukaryota; Metazoa; Arthropoda; Malacostraca; Bathynellacea; Parabathynellidae
Description: tRNA-Lys
Source: RNAcentral